Molecule: small nuclear RNA, 107 nt
Organism: Schistocerca cancellata (South American locust)
Lineage: Eukaryota; Metazoa; Arthropoda; Insecta; Orthoptera; Acrididae
Source: RefSeq, a predicted model, not a curated record
ACUCGCUUCGGCCGUACGUAUAUGUACUAAAAUUGGAGCGGUACAGAGAAGAUUAGCAUGGCCCCUGCGCAAGGAUGACACAAAAUCGUGAAGCGCUCCAUAUUUUU